AGUCGUAACAAGGUAUCCGUAGGUGAACCUGCGGAUGGAUCAUUACUGAAGGCUUACCCCCGACGUACUGUGAACUGUUUUGAAUUUCAGUCAGUGGUUCUUGGCCUACAGUUACUCUGAGCAGACAGGAUGGCCUAACGGCUGACCAUGUGCAUGGAGUAACGGUAACGCGCUCUGAGUAGACAGGAUGGCCUCACGGCUGACCAUGUGCCCAGAGUGCUUAAGUAGGCCUACCGCUGGCUGUACCUUACUAUACGUAAUGCCAUUUCCCAGACUGAAGUCUUAUUUAGUACAAACUAAAGAUAACUUUUAGCAACGGAUCUCUUGGCUCUC
This 333-nucleotide unclassified non-coding RNA is filed under the name fungal sp. RNAcentral describes it as "partial internal transcribed spacer region". The stretch from base 1 to 45 matches the Rfam family "Eukaryotic small subunit ribosomal RNA", at positions 1787 to 1831 of the family's 1831-position model. The record is from RNAcentral. Lineage: Eukaryota; Fungi.